This 468-nucleotide ribosomal RNA is filed under the name uncultured bacterium. RNAcentral describes it as "partial 16S ribosomal RNA". It matches the Rfam family "Bacterial small subunit ribosomal RNA", at positions 28 to 507 of the family's 1533-position model. The record is from RNAcentral.
GACGAACGCUGGCGGCGUGCUUAACACAUGCAAGUCGAACGGAAAGGCCCUGCUUUUGUGGGGUGCUCGAGUGGCGAACGGGUGAGUAACACGUGAGUAACCUGCCCUUGACUUUGGGAUAACUUCAGGAAACUGGGGCUAAUACCGGAUAGGAGCUCCUGCUGCAUGGUGGGGGUUGGAAAGUUUCGGCGGUUGGGGAUGGACUCGCGGCUUAUCAGCUUGUUGGUGGGGUAGUGGCUUACCAAGGUUUUGACGGGUAGCCGGCCUGGGAGGGUGAACGGCCACAUUGGGCCUGAGAUACGGCCCAGACUCCUACGGGAGGCAGCAGGCGGGAAUAUUGCACAAUGAGCGGGCGCCUGAUGCAGAAACGCCGCGUGCGGGAUGACGGCCUUCGGGUUGUAAACCGCUUUCGCCUGUGACGAAGCGUGAGUGACGGUAAUGGGUAAAGAAGCACCGGCUAACUACGUG